AUAAUUAUAUAUUAUUAAUAUAUUAUUAAUGUGUAUGAAUGAGGUGGUGGCCGGAGGGGCCGUAGGAGCAGAAUGACAGCCACACUUCCGUCAGUCUGCCCCAGGGCAACUCUGGCUACAUUGGUAGUUUACCACCACCAA
This is a long non-coding RNA of Thalassophryne amazonica, 141 nucleotides long. RefSeq lists it as uncharacterized. The transcript is spliced from 3 exons. The record is from RefSeq and is a predicted model, not a curated record. Lineage: Eukaryota; Metazoa; Chordata; Actinopteri; Batrachoidiformes; Batrachoididae.